This 413-nucleotide unclassified non-coding RNA is filed under the name Hevea brasiliensis (rubber tree). Lineage: Eukaryota; Viridiplantae; Streptophyta; Magnoliopsida; Malpighiales; Euphorbiaceae. The record is from RNAcentral.
AAGCUGAAGGAAGCACUGUAGGUGGGGUUACACAUCAGACCACAUCAAAAGCUUCAUCUGGCAAGGAAGAUCAUGCAACAAUUAAUAGUCAUUCUCAGGCUGGAGGUAUAAAUUCAAGACAUGGAACCUCAAAGUCAAUGUCACUUGCAGAUAAUUGUGGUGGGGCACCAAGAGCCACCCAUAAUCAAGGUAAUGAACAUGCAAGUGGAGAGAUGAAGAAUCCUUCAGAUCAUAAUGCUGAUGGCGAGUCUUCAGAUUAUGUAGACCAAGGAAUAGUGGUGCCUCGCCAUGAGAAUAUGGGGGAAGCUCAAAACACAUGGAGACAUGCAUCCCAUGGAAAAGAAGAUCAAGAAAGGAAUGCUGCUAGAAGUGAAAUAAGUGAAACAGGGGAAUUAAAAGACAAACAUUUUGGU